Molecule: ribosomal RNA, 321 nt
Filed under: uncultured Pseudomonadota bacterium
Lineage: Bacteria; Pseudomonadati; Pseudomonadota
Description: bacterial SSU rRNA
Rfam family: Bacterial small subunit ribosomal RNA
Source: RNAcentral
AUUGAACGCUGGCGGCAUGCCUUACACAUGCAAGUCGAACGGCAGCACGGGGGCAACCCUGGUGGCGAGUGGCGAACGGGUGAGUAAUACAUCGGAACAUAUCCAGUAGCGGGGGAUAACCUGUCGAAAGAUAGGCUAAUACCGCAUACGAUCUACGGAUGAAAGCGGGGGACCGCAAGGCCUCGCACUAUUGGAGUGGCCGAUGUCGGAUUAGCUAGUUGGUGGGGUAAAAGCUUACCAAGGCGACGAUCCGUAGCUGGUCUGAGAGGACGAUCAGCCACACUGGAACUGAGACACGGUCCAGACUCCUACGGGAGGCUG